RNAcentral lists this ribosomal RNA (478 nucleotides) under uncultured bacterium. RNAcentral's name for it is "partial 16S ribosomal RNA". It matches the Rfam family "Bacterial small subunit ribosomal RNA", at positions 28 to 523 of the family's 1533-position model. The record is from RNAcentral.
GACGAACGCUGGCGGCGUGCUUAACACAUGCAAGUCGAACGGUAAGGCCCUUCGGGGUACACGAGUGGCGAACGGGUGAGUAACACGUGGGUGAUCUGCCCUGCACUUCGGGAUAAGCCUGGGAAACUGGGUCUAAUACCGGAUAGGACCACUGCCUGCAUGGGUGGUGGUGGAAAGCUUUUGCGGUGUGGGAGGGGCCCGCGGCCUAUCAGCUUGUUGGUGGGGUGAUGGCCUACCAAGGCGACGACGGGUAGCCGGCCUGAGAGGGUGACCGGCCACACGGGGACUGAGAUCCGGCCCAGACUCCGACGGGAGGCAGCAGUGGGGAAUAUUGCACAAUGGGCGCAAGCCUGAUGCAGCGACGCCGCUUGAGGGAUGACGGCCUUCGGGUUGUAAACCUCUUUCAGCACCGACGAAGCGCAAGUGACGGUAGGUGCAGAAGAAGGACCGGCCAACUACGUGCCAGCAGCCGCCGCCG